This 253-nucleotide ribosomal RNA is filed under the name uncultured bacterium. RNAcentral describes it as "partial 16S ribosomal RNA". It matches the Rfam family "Bacterial small subunit ribosomal RNA", at positions 524 to 777 of the family's 1533-position model. The record is from RNAcentral.
UACGAAGGGGGCUAGCGUUGCUCGGAAUCACUGGGCGUAAAGGGUGCGUAGGCGGGUCUUAAGUCAGGGGUGAAAUCCUGGAGCUCAACUCCAGAACUGCCUUUGAUACUGAGGAUCUUGAGUUCGGGAGAGGUGAGUGGAACUGCGAGUGUAGAGGUGAAAUUCGUAGAUAUUCGCAAGAACACCGGUGGCGAAGGCGGCUCACUGGCCCGAUACUGACGCUGAGGCACGAAAGCGUGGGGAGCAAACAGGG